UACGGGGGGUGCGAGCGUUGUCCGGAAUCACUGGGCGUAAAGGGCGCGUAGGUGGCGUCGUAAGUUUGUGGUGAAAGCCUGGGGCUCAACCCCAGGUCUGCCGCGAAUACUGCGAGGCUUGAGUACUGUAGAGGCAGGUAGAAUAUCGGGUGUAGCGGUGGAAUGCGUAGAGAUCCGAUAGAAGACCGGUGGCGAAGGCGGCCUGCUGGGCAGUAGCUGACACUGAGGCGCGACAGCGUGGGGAGCAAACAGG
Molecule: ribosomal RNA, 253 nt
Filed under: uncultured bacterium
Lineage: Bacteria
Description: partial 16S ribosomal RNA
Rfam family: Bacterial small subunit ribosomal RNA
Source: RNAcentral